RNAcentral lists this small nuclear RNA (112 nucleotides) under Habropoda laboriosa. Lineage: Eukaryota; Metazoa; Arthropoda; Insecta; Hymenoptera; Apidae. The record is from RNAcentral.
GUACUUCGGGGUUCUGCUUGUAUCUGUACUACAAUUGGAACGAUACAGAGAAGAUUAGCAUGGUCCCUGUGCAAUAAUGACACCCCAAAAUUGUGAAGCAUUUGGCAUUUUU